AGACCCGAAACCCGGUGAUCUAGCCAUGGGCAGGUUGAAGGUUGGGUAACACUAACUGGAGGACCGAACCGACUAAUGUUGAAAAAUUAGCGGAUGACCUGUGGCUGGGGGUGAAAGGCCAAUCAAACCGGGAGAUAGCUGGUUCUCCCCGAAAGCUAUUUAGGUAGCGCCUCGUGAAUUCAUCUCCGGGGGUAGAGCACUGUUUCGGCUAGGGGGCCAUCCCGGCUUACCAACCCGAUGCAAACUGCGAAUACCGGAGAAUGUUAUCACGGGAGACACACGGCGGGUGCUAACGUCCGUCGUGAAGAGGGAAACAACCCAGACCGCCAGCUAAGGUCCCAAAGUCAUGGUUAAGUGGGAAACGAUGUGGGAAGGCCCAGACAGCCAGGAUGUUGGCUUAGAAGCAGCCAUCAUUUAAAGAAAGCGUAAUAGCUCACUGGUCGAGUCGGCCUGCGCGGAAGAUGUAACGGGGCUAAACCAUGCACCGAAGCUGCGGCAGCGAACGUAUCACCCAAGACAACUUUACGGAGUUGACGAUUGACGGAGCGAAGCGACGUCAAAGCGUUCAUUAAAGUCGAGUUGGCUUAGGGAUACGUUCGUUGGGUAGGGGAGCGUUCUGUAAGCCUGUGAAGGUGUGUCGUGAGGCAUGCUGGAGGUAUCAGAAGUGCGAAUGCUGACAUAAGUAACGAUAAAGCGGGUGAAAAGCCCGCUCGCCGGAAGACCAAGGGUUCCUGUCCAACGUUAAUCGGGGCAGGGUGAGUCGACCCCUAAGGCGAGGCCGAAAGGCGUAGUCGAUGGGAAACGGGUUAAUAUUCCCGUACUUGGUGUUACUGCGAAGGGGGGACGGAGAAGGCUAUGUUGGCCGGGCGACGGUUGUCCCGGUUUAAGCGUGUAGGUGUGUGUUCCAGGUAAAUCCGGUUCACUUUAACACUGAGGCGUGACGACGAGGCACUACGGUGCUGAAGCAACAAAUGCCCUGCUUCCAGGAAAAGCCUCUAAGCAUCAGGUAACACGAAAUCGUACCCCAAACCGACACAGGUGGUCAGGUAGAGAAUACCA
This 1059-nucleotide ribosomal RNA is filed under the name Salmonella enterica. Its description in RNAcentral is "partial 23S ribosomal RNA". It matches the Rfam family "Bacterial large subunit ribosomal RNA", at positions 711 to 1683 of the family's 2925-position model. Lineage: Bacteria; Pseudomonadati; Pseudomonadota; Gammaproteobacteria; Enterobacterales; Enterobacteriaceae. RNAcentral also lists the same sequence under 1 other name. The record is from RNAcentral.